This 501-nucleotide ribosomal RNA is filed under the name uncultured Acholeplasma sp. Its description in RNAcentral is "bacterial SSU rRNA". It matches the Rfam family "Bacterial small subunit ribosomal RNA", at positions 903 to 1382 of the family's 1533-position model. The record is from RNAcentral. Lineage: Bacteria; Bacillati; Mycoplasmatota; Mollicutes; Acholeplasmatales; Acholeplasmataceae.
GCCUUGCCACGCCCGCUCAGAAACUACAAAGGAAUUGACGGGACCCCGCACAAGCGGUGGAUCAUGUUGUUUAAUUCGAUGAUACGCGAAGAACCUUACCAGGUCUUGACAUCCCCCGCGAUGCUUUAGAGAUAAAGCGGAGGUAUUCGGGGAGACAGGUGGUGCAUGGUUGUCGUCAGCUCGUGUCGUGAGAUGUUGGGUUAAGUCCCGCAACGAGCGCAACCCCUAUUGCUAGUUACCAUCAUUAAGUUGGGGACUCUAGCGAGACUGCCAGUGAUAAACUGGAGGAAGGUGGGGAUGACGUCAAAUCAUCAUGCCCCUUAUGACCUGGGCUACAAACGUGAUACAAUGGCUGGAACAAAGGGAUGCGAAGCAGUGAUGUGGAGCGAAACCCAUAAAAACAGUCUCAGUUCGGAUUGAAGUCUGCAACUCGACUUCAUGAAGUCGGAAUCGCUAGUAAUCGCGGAUCAGAACGCCGCGGUGAAUACGUUCUCGGGGUUU